Molecule: small nuclear RNA, 105 nt
Filed under: Mus spretus (western wild mouse)
Lineage: Eukaryota; Metazoa; Chordata; Mammalia; Rodentia; Muridae
Source: RNAcentral
GUGCUGGCUUUGGCAUCACACAUACUAAACUUGGAAUGGCAGAAAAUUAAUUGGCAUGGCCCCAGUGCAAAGAUGACACAAAUUUGGGAAGCAUCCCAUAUUUUG